Molecule: unclassified non-coding RNA, 218 nt
Filed under: uncultured Tomentella
Lineage: Eukaryota; Fungi; Basidiomycota; Agaricomycetes; Thelephorales; Thelephoraceae
Also listed under: 1 other name
Description: sequence contains ITS2
Source: RNAcentral
ACACCUCAACUCUCAUGGCUUGCCAUGAUGAGCUUGGACUUUGGGGGUCUUGCUGGCCUGUGAGUUGGCUCCUCUUAAAUGAAUUAGCUUGCCAGUGUUUGGUGGCAUCACAGGUGUGAUAACUAUCUACGCUUGUGGUUUACCACCAGAUAACCUUCAGCAAUGGAGGUUCACUGGAGCUCAUAGACAUCUCUCCUCAGUGAGGGCAGAUUUUGACC